GGAUUAGAUACCCUGGUAGUCCACGCCGUAAACGAUGUCUACUAGCCGUUGGGAGACUUGAUCUUUUAGUGGCGCAGCUAACGCACUAAGUAGACCGCCUGGGGAGUACGGUCGCAAGAUUAAAACUCAAAUGAAUUGACGGGGGCCCGCACAAGCGGUGGAGCAUGUGGUUUAAUUCGAUGCAACGCGAAGAACCUUACCAGGUCUUGACAUCCAGAGAAGUUACCAGAGAUGGUUUCGUGCCUUCGGGAGCUCUGUGACAGGUGCUGCAUGGCUGUCGUCAGCUCGUGCUG
This 293-nucleotide ribosomal RNA is filed under the name uncultured bacterium. RNAcentral describes it as "partial 16S ribosomal RNA". It matches the Rfam family "Bacterial small subunit ribosomal RNA", at positions 775 to 1067 of the family's 1533-position model. The record is from RNAcentral.